Molecule: ribosomal RNA, 451 nt
Filed under: uncultured bacterium
Lineage: Bacteria
Description: partial 16S ribosomal RNA
Rfam family: Bacterial small subunit ribosomal RNA
Source: RNAcentral
AACGAACGCUGGCGGCAGGCUUAACACAUGCAAGUCGAACGGGUGCAGCAAUGCAUCAGUGGCAGACGGGUGAGUAACACGUGGGAACCUUCCUAGGGGUACGGAACAACUCAGGGAAACUUGAGCUAAUACCGUAUACGUCCGUGAGGAGAAAGAUUUAUCGCCCUUAGACGGGCCCGCGUCGGAUUAGCUAGUUGGUGGGGUAACGGCCUACCAAGGCGACGAUCCGUAGCUGAUCUUAGAGGAUGAUCAGCCACACUGGGACUGAGACACGGCCCAGACUCCUACGGGAGGCAGCAGUGGGGAAUCUUGGACAAUGGGCGCAAGCCUGAUCCAGCCAUGCCGCGUGAGUGGAGAAGGUCUUCGGAUUGUACGGCUCUUUUGCCAGGGACGAUAAUGACGGUACCUGGAGAAUAAGCCCCGGCAAACUUCGUGCCAGCCGCCGCAGUAA